AGUGAACGCUGGCGGUAGGCCUAACACACGCAAGUCGAACGGCAGCACAGUAAGAGCUUGCUCUUACGGGUGGCGAGUGGCGGACGGGUGAGGAAUACAUCGGAAUCUACUUUUUCGUGGGGGAUAACGUAGGGAAACUUACGCUAAUACCGCAUACGACCUACGGGUGAAAGCAGGGGAUCUUCGGACCUUGCGCGAUUGAAUGAGCCGAUGUCGGAUUAGCUAGUUGGCGGGGUAAAGGCCCACCAAGGCGACGAUCCGUAGCUGGUCUGAGAGGAUGAUCAGCCACACUGGAACUGAGACACGGUCCAGACUCCUACGGGAGGCAGCAGUGGGGAACAUUGGACAAUGGGCGCAAGCCUGAUCCAGCCAUACCGCGUGGGUGAAGAAGGCCUUCGGGUUGUAAAGCCCUUUUGUUGGGAAAGAAAAGCAGCAGGUUAAUACCCCGCUGUUCUGACGGUACCCAAAGAAUAAGCACCGGCUAACUUCGUG
This 492-nucleotide ribosomal RNA is filed under the name uncultured bacterium. RNAcentral describes it as "partial 16S ribosomal RNA". It matches the Rfam family "Bacterial small subunit ribosomal RNA", at positions 29 to 507 of the family's 1533-position model. The record is from RNAcentral.